Molecule: non-coding RNA, 216 nt
Organism: Vicia faba (fava bean)
Lineage: Eukaryota; Viridiplantae; Streptophyta; Magnoliopsida; Fabales; Fabaceae
Source: the annotation of a GenBank genome assembly
AUGUGUUGUCGACCGUUCACCAUUGGUAUCUCUCUGUUUCAGAUCUACUCCUCCGCAAAUCACCCCGGACAUCCUUCGAUUCGCACAACCACAUGCACACCACUCCAGAUCCACCGCCAUAAUUUGUGGGUAACUCUUUUGUUUUCUUGUUUAAAUCAUUUUGAGAUGGGUUGUGAAGUAAAUUGUAGAAGAAGAAAAGUGUUGUUGUUACUGUAA